AUGAGAUUAGCGAGAGAGUCCUUUAUACGAAAAGGCGCCGAAGAAGAAAUUUAAGAAAUGCCAAUUUUUAGAGAAGCUUUCAGGCAAAAAUAUCGCUAAUUGAUG
This 105-nucleotide non-coding RNA is filed under the name Clostridioides difficile. RNAcentral describes it as "Clostridium difficile Glycine sequence". It matches the Rfam family "Glycine riboswitch aptamer". Rfam says of the family: This family represents the bacterial glycine riboswitch. RNAcentral also lists the same sequence under 29 other names. The record is from Rfam by way of RNAcentral. Lineage: Bacteria; Bacillati; Bacillota; Clostridia; Peptostreptococcales; Peptostreptococcaceae.